ACGGGUGAGUAACACGUGACUAACCUACCUUCGAGUGGGGAAUAACCUCGGGAAACCGGGGCUAAUACCGCAUAAUCUUCGGCAAAGGAGCGCUGGAAGAGGGGGUCGCGGCCGAUUAGCUAGUUGGUGGGGUAACGGCCCACCAAGGCAAUGAUCGGUAGCCGGCCUGAGAGGGCGCACGGCCUCACUGGAACUGAGACGGUCCAGACUCCUACGGGAGGCAGCAGUGGGGAAUUUUGCGCAAUGGGGGAAACCCUGACGCAGCAACGCCGCGUGGAGGAUGAAGCCCCUUGGGGUGUAAACUCCUUUCGAUCGGGACGAUUGACGGUACCGGAUGAAGAAGCACCGGCUAACUCUGUGCCAGCAGCCGCGGUAAUACAGAGGGUGCAAGCGUUGUUCGGAAUUAUUGGGCGUAAAGGGUGCGUAGGCGGUGCGGUAAGUCUGUUGUGAAAUCUCCGGGCUCAACUCGGAGCCUGCAACGGAAAC
RNAcentral lists this ribosomal RNA (486 nucleotides) under uncultured soil bacterium. RNAcentral's name for it is "bacterial SSU rRNA". It matches the Rfam family "Bacterial small subunit ribosomal RNA", at positions 102 to 633 of the family's 1533-position model. The record is from RNAcentral.